AACGAACGCUGGCGGCAUGCCUAACACAUGCAAGUCGAACGAGAUCUUCGGGUCUAGUGGCGCACGGGUGCGUAACGCGUGGGAAUCUGCCCUUUGGUUCGGAAUAACAGUUGGAAACGACUGCUAAUACCGGAUGAUGACGAAAGUCCAAAGAUUUAUCGCCAGAGGAUGAGCCCGCGUAGGAUUAGCUAGUUGGUGUGGUAAAGGCGCACCAAGGCGACGAUCCUUAGCUGGUCUGAGAGGAUGAUCAGCCACACUGGGACUGAGACACGGCCCAGACUCGUCCGGGAGGCAGCAGUGGGGAAUAUUGGACAAUGGGCGAAAGCCUGAUCCAGCAAUGCCGCGUGAGUGAUGAAGGCCUUAGGGUUGUAAAGCUCUUUUACCCGGGAUGAUAAUGACAGUACCGGGAGAAUAAGCUCCGGCUAACUCCGUGCCAGCAGCCGCGGUAA
This 449-nucleotide ribosomal RNA is filed under the name uncultured bacterium. Its description in RNAcentral is "partial 16S ribosomal RNA". It matches the Rfam family "Bacterial small subunit ribosomal RNA", at positions 29 to 523 of the family's 1533-position model. The record is from RNAcentral.